GUACCCUGGUUUCUCUUCAGAUCAUGUAAAUCUUUCGCCUUUUACUAAAGGUUUCUGUGGAGAGAAACAACUCUGAGUCUUUAAAAAG
RNAcentral lists this small nuclear RNA (88 nucleotides) under Otolemur garnettii (small-eared galago). Its description in RNAcentral is "U5 spliceosomal RNA (ENSOGAG00000020030.1)". It matches the Rfam family "U5 spliceosomal RNA", at positions 1 to 88 of the family's 117-position model. From Rfam's summary of the family: U5 RNA is a component of both types of known spliceosome. The precise function of this molecule is unknown, though it is known that the 5' loop is required for splice site selection and p220 binding, and that both the 3' stem-loop and the Sm site are important for Sm protein binding and cap methylation. Lineage: Eukaryota; Metazoa; Chordata; Mammalia; Primates; Galagidae. The record is from RNAcentral.